AUUGAACGCUGGCGGCAGGCCUAACACAUGCAAGUCGAGCGGAUGAAGGGAGCUUGCUCCUGGAUUCAGCGGCGGACGGGUGAGUAAUGCCUAGGAAUCUGCCUGGUAGUGGGGGAUAACGUCCGGAAACGGGCGCUAAUACCGCAUACGUCCUGAGGGAGAAAGUGGGGGAUCUUCGGACCUCACGCUAUCAGAUGAGCCUAGGUCGGAUUAGCUAGUUGGUGGGGUAAAGGCCUACCAAGGCGACGAUCCGUAACUGGUCUGAGAGGAUGAUCAGUCACACUGGAACUGAGACACGGUCCAGACUCCUACGGGAGGCAGCAGUGGGGAAUAUUGGACAAUGGGCGAAAGCCUGAUCCAGCCAUGCCGCGUGUGUGAAGAAGGUCUUCGGAUUGUAAAGCACUUUAAGUUGGGAGGAAGGGCAGUAAGUUAAUACCUUGCUGUUUUGACGUUACCAACAGAAUAAGCACCGGCUAACUUCGUGCCAGCAGCCGCGGUAAUACGAAGGGUGCAAGCGUUAAUCGGAAUUACUGGGCGUAAAGCGCGCGUAGGUGGUUCAGCAAGUUGGAUGUGAAAUCCCCGGGCUCAACCUGGGAACUGCAUCCAAAACUACUGAGCUAGAGUACGGUAGAGGGUGGUGGAAUUUCCUGUGUAGCGGUGAAAUGCGUAGAUAUAGGAAGGAACACCAGUGGCGAAGGCGACCACCUGGACUGAUACUGACACUGAGGUGCGAAAGCGUGGGGAGCAAACAGGAUUAGAUACCCUGGUAGUCCACGCCGUAAACGAUGUCGACUAGCCGUUGGGAUCCAUGAGAUCUUAGUGGCGCAGCUAACGCGAUAAGUCGACCGCCUGGGGAGUACGGCCGCAAGGUUA
Molecule: ribosomal RNA, 873 nt
Filed under: uncultured Pseudomonadales bacterium
Lineage: Bacteria; Pseudomonadati; Pseudomonadota; Gammaproteobacteria; Pseudomonadales
Description: bacterial SSU rRNA
Rfam family: Bacterial small subunit ribosomal RNA
Source: RNAcentral